This 1548-nucleotide long non-coding RNA is filed under the name Salmo salar (Atlantic salmon). RNAcentral describes it as "lncRNA (ENSSSAG00000114755.1, ENSSSAG00020078572.1)". The record is from RNAcentral. Lineage: Eukaryota; Metazoa; Chordata; Actinopteri; Salmoniformes; Salmonidae.
UGGCCACCCCUCAUAGCCUGGUUCCUCUCUAGGUUUCUUCCUAGGUUUUUGGCCUUUCUAGGGAGUUUUUCCUAGGGAGUUUUUCCUAGCCACCGUGCUUCUUUCACAUGCUUUGCUUGCUGUUUGGGGUUUUAGGCUGGGUUUCUGUACAGCACUUUGAGAUAUCAGCUGAUGUACGAAGGGCUAUAUAAAAAUAAAUUUGAUUGAUUAAUAUAGAAUACCUAGUAUGCUCACAACUGCAUUGUGGUAUAGAUAUUGCUAGCUCUUGUACAUAUGUUUCAUACAUAUGUUUAACAAGUCAGACGCGAAGGAUUUACUUCAGACGGGAUUUACCCUCAUCCACAUAAUCUGCCUUUACCAUCGGUCCUAUUAGCCAACGUUCAAUCAUUGGAUAAUAAAAUAGACAAACUAUGAUCACGUAUAUCCUACCAACGGGAUAUAAAAAAAUGUAAUAUCUUAUGUUUAACUGAGUCGUGGCUGAACGACGACAUGAAUAACAUGCAGCUGGCGGGUUUUAAGCUGUAUCGGCAGGAUAGGACAGCGGCGAUCUAUGUAUAUUUGUAAACAACAGCUGGUGCAUGAAAUCUAAUGAAGGAUAUGGCUUGUGGUGAGAUAUUGUGUAGCUAAAGGUAAUGUGUCAGCCUAUUAAUUAGGAAAAUAUAAAAAAUUGCCUAUUACUAGGCUAUUCAAAAUAAUGGACUAUAAUUGUAGAAUAACUCUGUUAGCUGCUCUGCACAAUCAAUGAACCAACAGCGUUGCCUAGACCAGUGGUUCCCAAACUGUGGACAUGCCCCCUAGGGGGGCUGCGACGGGUCAGCAAGGGCGGCACGGGGGUCCCCCACCUCCCAAAUGAAAAAAAUAAAUAAUAAUGGAACACAGUCCGGCUUUAAACUUUCUGUUGAAAGUUGUAAUAGUAGAAUGCACAAGGUGCAAAUUCGAAAUCGGGUAGCGCAUCAUCAGUUCCUCUUGUCAUUACAGUCAUUGCAUACCUUAGAGAGCUAUUUAUAACUUCAGAAAUCAACUAGCCCAUGUCAGCUAAUGUUUUCUUAUCUAGGUUUUUUAGCCCAUAGAUAUUGUUGUAAUUUUUUUGUCACUCAUUUAUGUUUAUUUAUUUUUUGUAUUUUACCCCCCUCUUUGUCCCCAAUUUUGAUCUUGUCUCCUUGCUGCAACUCCCCAACGGGCUCGGGAGGCGAAGUUCGAGUAAUGCGUCCCCCGAAACCACGCUUCUUAGCACCCGCCUGCUUCCCCUGAACCACGCUUUUUUGCACACGCCUGCUUAAUCAAGAAGCCAGCCGCACCAAUGUUUUGGAGGAAACGCCAUUCAACUGACGACCGAAGUCUGCCUGCAGGCACCCGGCCAGCCACAAAGAGUCACUAGAGCGCAAUGAGCCAAGCACAAAUUUUUUUGUCACUCAAAAUACACAACAAACAUUAGACAUGGCAAAAUGUAUAGUAUUGCAAGAAAAUUUGCUUUUAAACUGCAAAAUGUGCUUUGCACCACAUGACAAAUUGUGUAUAAUUGCUUGAAAUAAAAUUGCAAAAUUCUCU